Molecule: ribosomal RNA, 492 nt
Filed under: uncultured bacterium
Lineage: Bacteria
Description: partial 16S ribosomal RNA
Rfam family: Bacterial small subunit ribosomal RNA
Source: RNAcentral
AGUGAACGCUGGUGGUAGGCCUAACACAUGCAAGUCGAACGGCAGCACAGUAAGAGCUUGCUCUUACGGGUGGCGAGUGGCGGACGGGUGAGGAAUACAUCGGAAUCUACUUUUUCGUGGGGGAUAACGUAGGGAAACUUACGCUAAUACCGCAUACGACCUACGGGUGAAAGCAGGGGAUCUUCGGACCUUGCGUGAUUGAAUGAGCCGAUGUCGGAUUAGCUAGUUGGCGGGGUAAAGGCCCACCAAGGCGACGAUCCGUAGCUGGUCUGAGAGGAUGAUCAGCCACACUGGAACUGAGACACGGUCCAGACUCCUACGGGAGGCAGCAGUGGGGAAUAUUGGACAAUGGGCGCAAGCCUGAUCCAGCCAUACCGCGUGGGUGAAGAAGGCCUUCGGGUUGUAAAGCCCUUUUGGUGGGAAAGAAAAGCAGCAGGUUAAUACCCCGCUGUUCUGGCGGUACCCAAAGAAUAAGCACCGGCUAACUUCGUG